RNAcentral lists this long non-coding RNA (1242 nucleotides) under Marmota monax (woodchuck). Lineage: Eukaryota; Metazoa; Chordata; Mammalia; Rodentia; Sciuridae. The record is from RNAcentral.
CUGAGGCUAGGUCAUUAAAUCUAUCUUUUCCAUAGAUCAUGGGAAUACUUGCUCUGGAUCCUUAAGCAAUCAAAAUGACCUGAGGCCAAUGUGCUGCGUGGAAACUGACCUAGCCUUGGUGAAGAGGCCACAUGGAGAAGCCUUGAGACUGCAUGAAUCCAAAGAUGCCCAGCUACCUCUGUUUCAGCCAACCUGUGACUAUAAACUCAGGAGUGACCUUGAGGUGAUACAAGCAUCUAAGGACUUUCAAAAUAAUGAUCCAGAGAGACUAUGAGAUAUAAUAAAAUAAUUACUGGUGUUUUAAGCCACUAAUACUUGGGCUGAUUUGUCACACAGCAAUAUAUAACCAUGUUUAGAUCACUUAGGAACUGUUGCCAUAUGCACUGGGAGAACAUCCUCAGUGUUUUUAUCCCUGGUUUGUGCUGGGAAAGGGGCAUCCUCACCCUCCCAGACUUCUGAGAUUGUGGAAUCUGCUGCCUAUUGUUGGACUAUGACCUUGAGCCCGCCAUUCCUGUUUUGUGCACUUGAACUAUGUUUCUUAUUGAGCUGUCAGCAUGUUGGAGUGUCACAGGUGGCGAAACACACAUUUGUCAGUUUAUGGCGACUGUCUCCUGCCCUAUAAGGUGGUGACUGUCUCCUGCCCUAUAAGGUGGCUUAGUGGAGAGCUAGCUCAUUAGGAGGAGACAAGGUCACUAGGUAUAGCUAUACCAAGACUAGAAGCUCCCUUGUCAGGUUGUCCCCACAUGUUCUCUACUUUCUCCUUCCAUUUCUUGAUAAAUAUUUCUGGAAGUAUGGAGAUACAGAUCUCACUUCUGCAGCACAUUCUAUGGAAUAUCCACUGUACAGAGCCAACCAUACUGUCUGUAAGAGUGCAAGGAAUUCUAGGCUUCUUGUUGCUUCCCUACUUCCAAAUUUUUCUCAACAAACCUCACUUGAGGCUUAUAGUAUCUGCUAUUUGAGAUGUCUUAUGGUGUUAUGUCUGUGCUUCUUACAACGCCAAGGUAUGGUCCUGCUGCAUAUUCUGAAAUUUAACCAGUCUAAGCUGGACUAAUAGUGACUGAAUAGCGGUCUCCUUCAAUGUUAGUUAUAAGAAUACUUUAUCAAAGAUAUCUUCCUGAAUUCCUAGCUCUGUGUCUAGUAUUUCAUUGAUAGAGAUUUAUCCAGUCAAUAUUUUUAAAAAAUAUUUAUUUUUUAGUUGUAGUUGGACACCAUACCUUUAUUUCACCUAUUUAUUUUUAUGUG